This 465-nucleotide ribosomal RNA is filed under the name uncultured bacterium. RNAcentral describes it as "partial 16S ribosomal RNA". It matches the Rfam family "Bacterial small subunit ribosomal RNA", at positions 28 to 507 of the family's 1533-position model. The record is from RNAcentral.
GACGAACGCUGGCGGCGUGCUUAACACAUGCAAGUCGAACGGAAAGGCCCCUUUGGGGGUACUCGAGUGGCGAACGGGUGAGUAACACGUGAGUAACCUGCCCUUGACUUCGGGAUAACUUCAGGAAACUGGGGCUAAUACCGGAUAGGAAUCCUUGCUGCAUGGUGGGGGUUGGAAAGCUUCGGCGGUUUUGGAUGGACUCGCGGCUUAUCAGCUUGUUGGUGGGGUAGUGGGUUACCAAGGCUUUGACGGGUAGCCGGCCUGAGAGGGCGACCGGCCACAUUGGGACUGAGAUACGGCCCAGACUCCUACGGGAGGCAGCAGUGGGGAAUAUUGCACAAUGGGCGGAAGCCUGAUGCAGCAACGCCGCGUGCGGGAUGACGGCCUUCGGGUUGUAAACCGCUUUCAGCAGGGGCGAAGCUUGUGGUGACGGUACCUGCAGAAGAAGCACCGGCUAACUACGUG